Psammomys obesus (fat sand rat) is the source of this 3548-nucleotide long non-coding RNA. RefSeq lists it as uncharacterized. The transcript has 4 exons. NCBI's taxonomy places the organism in Eukaryota, Metazoa, Chordata, Mammalia, Rodentia, Muridae. The record is from RefSeq and is a predicted model, not a curated record.
UUGAGAGAGACAGCCAAGCCCAAGCACAUCACUGCAAACCAGCGUCUCGCAGACUGCAGGCAAGCUGCCUGGCGGCCGAGGCUCUGCAGACCAUCCAUGACCAUGUGGUACCCGGGCUCCCCCUCCUCCGUGGUGGGGCUUGUACGAAGAGCACCCGUGAGGUUUCAGAAGAAAGCAAGGCCGUUUCUGAGCUUCUUCCGGCUUAAGCCUCAUGGUUUGGCCGAGAUACCCACAUUUUCUAUCGACUUUGAUGUUUUCUGAUUUUUAUUCACUUGGCCCGAGGGAUUCUUUUUCUUCCACCCUCCUGUCACGCUCCGCCCGCUUCCCUGAAGGAAUGAAAACCAGAUUGCGUGGUUUGGGCAGGAAAAGACUGGCCUGCUCACGCAAGCCACGGAUGUACAUUUCUGUCCUCCAGCCCCCUGACCCGCUGGGAACCUCCAGCUACCCAGGCCACAAGAGACAAUGAUCAUGUGGGUGAGGGGUAGGGGCUGAACAGUGGCGAGAGUUCCGUAGACCCAGCUCCUUGUGUAUUUGGCCAUUCAAGGGUGUGUGUGUGUGUGGGGGGGGGUGUCACUGAGCUUGUCAGAUCUCAAUUCCAGUUCAGCAAAAUGCAUGCGCUCCUGGACCGCUGUGGUGAUUCGGCUGCGCAGAAGAGAAGGGCCCUCCGCUCUGAAGAGGUCUCAGGAAGCUCUCAGAGAAAAGAGACUGAAAGGCAAUUACAGUGAAGCUGUUUAAUGUGGCCCAGACACUUGUACUGCAGGGCAAAGAGUUUGAAACAGAAUUUUGCUGUUACCUAGGCUAGUCUUCAAUUCACUCUGCAGCCCAGGUUGUCCUUGAACUUGCGAUUGCCUGGCCUCAGGUCCCUGUGGAGGGGAAUGCCGGGGCAGGCAGUGGAACUUCUCGGGGACCAGCUUGUUGACAGUGUGCCACCUUCACUGGGUGGCUUCCAAGAUCAUGGCCAUCGGCUGUGGGUGUCAAGGCUGGUGGACGGAGGAGAGAGAAUGAAGGCAUGCCAGCUUUGUCUCAGAAGGGACACCUCUGCUCACAUCCCAGGCGUGAGAACCAAUCCUGUGGCUCCAUCUUAAUGCUGCGUGUGUUGGGGGGGACUUGGGAGAGAUGGCCCCUGGCCGGCCACUGCGUUCCCAGUGUCAGUCCUGGACGCCGUGAAGGGAGGAAGGAAGUGGCUCCAGCAGCCCGUGGGUGAGACAUUCCUUGGCUUUGCCUACUGUUCCCAGAUUUUUCAUGAUUCCGGGAGACAGAGCUGGCAUCUCUAACCAGCCUUGGAGAGGGACAGGAUCCUUCUCAGGAACACUAUGAACCCCAGAAAGCCAGAGCCUCGUUUUCAGCUACCCCAGCCCUCUGGGUACAGGAGCCACCUCCAGAGGGGGAAGCCUGGGCUGGAACCGAAAACUCCAUGAAGUACCACCAACAAGGCACAUGCCUGUAGGGAAGGAAAGGAGGGAAAAGUCACCUGACGGGGGGUGGGGGGCAGAGGCGACGUUUGUAAUGGCUUGUGACACAUGCAAUUCUGACGAGUGACGUAGGUUUCUGAUGGCUUUAGGGGUGGUAGGAAGAAAUUGGGAGAAGAAGUUGGAAAGUAGGGAAGACUCAGGACUUCUUAAGGGGGAUGUGAAUUGGUGCAGAUUUUAGCUGCUACGUAGGAAGGAAGUCAAGGAGACCCUGGGAUGCAGUAGGUCAAGUGGAGGACUCAGGGCCGGCAGGCAAGCUUCUUAAGGCUUCUGGGUAGGGGUGAGGUCAUAAACUGUACCAGGACCUCCUUUUUUUUUUUUUCUUAGGAGGCUUUUCCCAGCUGUCUUUGCGCUGACACGAGAUCCUUUAGACCUCAGGGCAGUUCCGAAGGUGGUCUGGGUGUAGUCACUGUCUGUAACUGCACAGAGGCCAGAGGACUUUGGAACGGGAAUGUUUUGCCCUGGUCUCAAGAAGCAGUUCAGCUCCACUUGAAGGCUUGUGGUCCUGGGAAAGGGUCAGGCUAAGGUGGGAAGAGAGCCAGGGAGAGGGGGACUCGCUCCACUUCACUGGCUGGGACCUGGGUGUCUACAGUAGUAGGCACCUUCUGGACCUUGGUUUCCCCACCUGCUCAUGGUAAAAUGAGAUCACUGCCUUGGCCUACCCACAGCUGUAUUUGAUAAAUGCUAGUUUCCCUCAACUUGGGAUUGGCAUGGGUGGGAGGCAGGGUGGAACAGUGAUCAGCUGGGCCGAUUCCGGGGAAGCAACUUAGAUCCUUCAAACCUGGCCCUGUACUGCCUGGGAGGAGCGUCGUUCCUUCUCAGACCUCCCUGGUCAUCCCUCCUCCACCUCCCGCCUGCCCCUUUUCCCUCAGGAGGGACAGGUAAGGCCCCAGGGACUGAGCCAUUCCUCCCUGUUUGCACGUCGAGUGCCACCCAAUCAACCUGGCAGGAGUUAGCAGGCCUCUAGAGGCUGUGGGCCACUGGGACGGAGGUGCUUGGCACAUGAUAUCAAGGGAAGCUGGGAGGAGGGCCUCAAGCCCAGGCUGCCCCAGGACAAGGGCAAGAAUCCAGGUCAUCAGCAGGUGCGCCCUGCUUAGCUUGCCAUCGCCCCUCCUUUUGUUGGCUUUCCUGGUACCAGGGUCGACAAGAGCUCGUAGGACAGAGCUUUCUUGCCAAAGUAUGUGAGAAGGGGGUGUCGGGGCCCCCUGGCUCCUCUGCUGUUCUUGGAAGGAGGCUGAACAGACUCUUGGCCUCCUGUCUCUGGACUUGGCAGGUGCCAGUGGCACUCCAGCCUGAUCUUGGUUCUAAAUCUGGCCCUGCAGCCCAUGGACUGGGUGAUGUGUGUGGUACUAAUUCCUUCCAGCCUCAGUUUCUUCCAGCUCUCGGGUUCCUUGGCUGUCAGAUGGGAGUAACGUCAUCAGUAUUUUGAGAGCUGAAUUGUUAACGGUUGCAGAGUUAACAUGGUGACAGACACAAAUCAGGAGCUGCUGAAGCACCGGUUCCUCUCCUUCCCUCCCUUGUUCCUGCAUCCAUUCUGUGUCUUAUCUAUUUCUUCCUCCCCUCUGUUCCUCCUUUCCCCCUGUCUCCCUUUCUCCCUCCCUCUCACCUUCCCUCCCUUUUUCUCUCCCUCUUUCCCUUCUCUUUCUUUCCAGUCAGAGUUUGAAAUGGGAGACCUGUUGGCAUAUAGAGGAAGCCUUCCCUCUCCCUUCCCCUGCUUCAUAGAAUCCCUCUGGACCCCAGGCCAGGAGAUUGAGGAAUAGAGGGAACUGAUGACCUGACUCCUGAGUGCAGAACUCUAAUCUGGAGAUGAUGUCCAUUGGAGCACGGACCACCCUGGGGACAGACUCUUCUGGAACCCUUGUCUUUGGGCCUCACUGAAUUGGGGACAAGCAGGUUGGCCGGCUGGAGUAGGAGGAGGGAUGGGAACUGGCAGGCUUGGGCUUUCUCCUUUCCCUAAGACUAGUGUCUUCCAUCAAAACUCAACAGUCAGGAAUGGCCCAGCUCACUCUGCCAGCCAAUUUAGAAAGAGCCAGAAGCUAAUUCACACUCAAAUGUUAAUAGAAAUAAACGAAUCAAUGA